AAAUAGUAAAAUAUGUUGCCAAAAGACUCUUUUUUAACAAAAAUGCUCAGCUCGGGUAGAAUAUUUGUAGUUUUUGUUUUAAUUGAAAACAGUUAUCUGUCAAGCUGGCGGGUGAUUUAGUGAAACCGCAAACGCGAGAGUGACAUUUGAUUCUAAUUGAAUCAGACGUAUUGUCUUUCGACUGUUAUGGUUGGUUAAUGGUAAAUUUGGAGACUUCAAUGCUACCACGUGUGCUUGAGACGCGUUUAUUUUUGCAAAUCCGAACUUUAGAUCUGCCGGACUACAAAGAGGCAUUAUAUGCACGAACGCCUCAUCCUGCCCAAACGUCCGAUUCAUGAAGGAGAUCGGCGAAUCGCGCAAGACAAUAAUGACACAAUGCACGCGCGCGGUAAUCAUGUCUUGGACUAGAUUUAUCAGCAAACUGGUGGAGAGAUACUUUGAACGAUAACGGAAGGAUCCCCCAAAAAAACAAAGAUUCGUUGCCGGGUUUCUCGGAUUUCCAUCGCCGGUUCACCGGGUAAUCCUGACCGAGGGCUGCGCCGGAAUGACGAAGUGUCA
Pseudomyrmex gracilis is the source of this 558-nucleotide long non-coding RNA. RefSeq lists it as uncharacterized. NCBI's taxonomy places the organism in Eukaryota, Metazoa, Arthropoda, Insecta, Hymenoptera, Formicidae. The record is from RefSeq and is a predicted model, not a curated record. The transcript has 3 exons.